This 140-nucleotide ribosomal RNA is filed under the name uncultured bacterium. Its description in RNAcentral is "partial 16S ribosomal RNA". It matches the Rfam family "Bacterial small subunit ribosomal RNA", at positions 355 to 509 of the family's 1533-position model. The record is from RNAcentral.
UGGGGAAUAUUGGGCAAUGGGCGAAAGCCUGACCCAGCAACGCCGCGUGAGGGAAGAAGGUUUUCGGAUUGUAAACCUCUGUCCUUGGUGACGAAGGAAGUGACGGUAGCCAAGGAGGAAGCCCCGGCUAACUACGUGCC